Molecule: long non-coding RNA, 987 nt
Organism: Halichondria panicea
Lineage: Eukaryota; Metazoa; Porifera; Demospongiae; Suberitida; Halichondriidae
Exons: 2
Source: RefSeq, a predicted model, not a curated record
GCUGCUCAAGGAUGAAUCAAGUGCAAGUAAGAGUUUCUAUAUAGGCUUCUAGUCAUGUUUACUUGGAUUUGCAAAAUAAUGCUUCGUCCUCGAGUUAUGCCUAGUUUUGCUUACUUGGAAUGACAUUGCAGUCUUUUCAGAAGAGUGCGUAGGGAAACUUGUCCAUGGAGUGUUGCUACUCUAUUUAGUAGUUAGCUCUGCACUAGAACGCUAGCUAUUGGUAGCUGCAACAGUGAGAACAGAGCUGCAAGGCUCUAUACAGAUGCAACUAUUAACCUUGGCUUGAACUUUUGGCAUCGAUCGUUUUAACAACAAUCAUGGCCGAUCAUUACCCACUCUUUGAGUUUCUCUGUGAUCUUGGAUUCUGCCUGCAUGCAGCAAAUUCAAUGCAAGAUUGUUCAUCAAUAAUUAACCCUUUCCCGGCUUUGGACGACAUAUGUCGUCCAGCGGACCGAGAUUUUUCAAAAAUUUGCUGUGCAGGCUGUGUUGGAGCUAUGCGCACGCUGUAGGUACCAGCACAUGCGCAUUGAGCUGCUCUUUCACAUGGUAUUUUCAACAUCUUGCUUCGAGGUACCCUUUGUGCAGUACUGUCGAAAGAAAAGUGACCGUUUGAUGAUGACUUCAAGAUCUUUGUAGUACAACCUCAGUGGGGCUCUAGAGCGCUAGACAGUGAGAAUAUCGAUGCUUAUGGCCUUGUAGAGUGAGAGGACAGUGACUGGGAUCGUAGCUAGGUAGGAAGCUACCUCAAGCUAAAAAAUAAAGAGCCUGAGGAGCCUGAAGGAGCUAGACCAAGUUUCUGGAUCUGGUGAAGAACGUUUCCCGGGAAAAGGGCGUCUGCUGAUACGACCUCGCAGAGAAGUUUCGGCAGAUCCUGAUCGAACUAUGUCACCGUGAGAACAUUGAGAACACUUACUUAGUGUCUAUAGUCACUUUGUGCCUUCGUAUAAUAUUGUUUGUGUACAUAAUUGUGAAUGUUUGUAAACAAUC